This 360-nucleotide ribosomal RNA is filed under the name uncultured bacterium. RNAcentral describes it as "bacterial SSU rRNA". It matches the Rfam family "Bacterial small subunit ribosomal RNA", at positions 12 to 365 of the family's 1533-position model. The record is from RNAcentral.
UUUGAUCAUGGCUCAAAGUGAACGCUGGCGGCGUGCUUCCCUCAUGCAAGUCGAACGAGAACGGAUUAUAGCUUGCUAUAAUUGUCAGCUAAGUGGCGCACGGGUGAGUAAUGUAUAGGUAAUAUGCCUCUUACUAAGGGAUAACAAAUGGAAACGUUUGCUAAUACCUUAUAUUCCUUAUUAACAUAAUUUAAUAAGGGAAAGAUUUAUUGGUAAAAGAUUACCCUGUAUUGUAUCAUUUAGUUGGGGGGGUAAGGGCUUACCAAGACUAUGACACAUAACUGGUUUGAGAGGAUGAUCAGUCACACUGGAACUGAAACACGGUCCAAACUCCUACGGGAGGCAGCUUUGGGGAAUAUU